RNAcentral lists this small RNA (341 nucleotides) under Pan troglodytes (chimpanzee). RNAcentral's name for it is "retained intron". The record is from RNAcentral. Lineage: Eukaryota; Metazoa; Chordata; Mammalia; Primates; Hominidae.
UGGGAAGAUGUGGUGGCAUUGCAGAAUGCUGGAAGUAAUUUUGAUUUCUAUUCAGGGGCCGUAUUUAUCAUUGAGAAUCUGGAUUAUGAGAGCUCUCAUGAGUAUUACCUAACAGUAGAGGCCACUGAUGGAGGCACGCCUUCACUGAGUGACGUUGCCACUGUGAACGUUAAUGUAACAGAUAUCAACGAUAAUACCCCUGUGUUCAGCCAAGACACCUACACGACAGUCAUCAGUGAAGAUGCCGUUCUUGAGCAAUCUGUCAUCACGGUUAUGGCCGAUGAUGCCGAUGGACCUUCCAACAGCCACAUCCACUACUCAAUUAUAGAUGGCAACCAGGG